CCUACGGGAGGCAGCAGUGAGGAAUAUUGGUCAAUGGGCGAGAGCCUGAACCAGCCAAGUCGCGUGAGGGAGUACUGCCCUAUGGGUUGUAAACCUCUUUUGUCGGGGAGCAAAAGCCGGACGUGUUCGGCUGUGAGAGUACCCGAAGAAAAAGCAUCGGCUAACUCCGUGCCAGCAGCCGCGGUAAUACGGAGGAUGCGAGCGUUAACCGGAUUUAUUGGGUUUAAAGGGUGCGCAGGCGGAAUUUUAAGUCAGCGGUAAAAUCGUGGGGCUCAACCCCAUCCAGCCGUUGAAACUGGGGAUCUAGAGUGUGCGAGAGGUAUGCGGAAUGCGUGGUGUAGCGGUGAAAUGCAUAGAUAUCACGCAGAACCCCGAUUGCGAAGGCAGCAUACCGGUGCACAACUGACGCUCAGGCACGAAAGCGUGGGUAUCGAACAGGAUUAGAUACCCUUGUAGUC
This 458-nucleotide ribosomal RNA is filed under the name uncultured bacterium. RNAcentral describes it as "partial 16S ribosomal RNA". It matches the Rfam family "Bacterial small subunit ribosomal RNA", at positions 338 to 795 of the family's 1533-position model. The record is from RNAcentral.